GGGACCCCUAAAAGUUGUCUUUACUGUUAAUAAAAUAUUGUCAAGGUAAGAAAAACCUUCAUGAAAGGUGAAAAAAGAAAAGCAAAUUUUAAAUAAUAUCUAUUACAAAUAAUUUUUAGGGAAAUGAAACCAAAGGGCCAGCUUUCUGACUUCAAUUUUCAAGAUGAAUGUAACAGCAAAGAUAAGGUCACAUCGGAUUAUGCUGAACUUGAAACCAUCGACAAAACAGAUACAUAUGAAGAACUUGAUUAAGAUGCUGUUGGGAAAAUAAACCUUCUUACUGAGUUAUAAAAAUAUGUUGUUACUGACCAGCACUUAGAUGGAUUUAUUUGUUUUAUUGUGACGGCAAAUUGAAAACUGAUUUCCAAUGAGUGUCAAUGUGCUUGAAACUUUAAGACAGAAUGUAAAAAAAAAAUGCAACAAUGUUAUAUAUCUAUACUUUUAAGAGGAUAAUAAUUUACAUAU
This is a long non-coding RNA of Saccostrea cuccullata (small rock oyster), 465 nucleotides long. RefSeq lists it as uncharacterized. The record is from RefSeq and is a predicted model, not a curated record. The transcript has 3 exons. Lineage: Eukaryota; Metazoa; Mollusca; Bivalvia; Ostreida; Ostreidae.